UGGGGAUAUAGUUUAUUCGGUAAAACAUAUGCUUUGCACGUAUAAAAAGUCAGUUCAAUUCUGGCUAUCUCCAU
RNAcentral lists this transfer RNA (74 nucleotides) under Cyanophora sudae. RNAcentral describes it as "tRNA-Ala". It matches the Rfam family "tRNA". From Rfam's summary of the family: Transfer RNA (tRNA) molecules are approximately 80 nucleotides in length. Their secondary structure includes four short double-helical elements and three loops (D, anti-codon, and T loops). Lineage: Eukaryota; Glaucocystophyceae; Cyanophorales; Cyanophoraceae. The record is from RNAcentral.